AAACUAACUGUUGGAGGUUCGAUUCCUUCCCUUCUCG
Molecule: transfer RNA, 37 nt
Filed under: Loxodonta cyclotis (African forest elephant)
Lineage: Eukaryota; Metazoa; Chordata; Mammalia; Proboscidea; Elephantidae
Description: partial tRNA-Ser
Source: RNAcentral